UACGUAGGUGGCAAGCGUUGUCCGGAUUUACUGGGCGUAAAGGGCGUGCAGGCGGUUUGUUAAGUGCAGAGUGAAAGCUCCCGGCUCAACUGGGAGAGGUCUUUGCAUACUGGCAAACUCGAGGGAGGCAGAGGAAAGUGGAAUUCCCGGUGUAGUGGUGAUAUGCGUAGAUAUCGGGAGGAACACCUAUGGCGAAGGCAGCUCGCUGGGACGUUACUGACGCUGAGACGCGAAAGCGUGGGGAGCAAACAGG
This 253-nucleotide ribosomal RNA is filed under the name uncultured bacterium. Its description in RNAcentral is "partial 16S ribosomal RNA". It matches the Rfam family "Bacterial small subunit ribosomal RNA", at positions 524 to 776 of the family's 1533-position model. The record is from RNAcentral.